GCAUAUGCAUGCUAUUACACUAGGCUCACAUCUCACACUAAUAUAAAUACUAAUGAAUAAAUAAACAAACAGAGCACAACACUAUAAAUGGCAUCGUUUUUUCACCACGUCAACAAUCGUCCCAUAACCACCGCCUGAGCCUGGACCCAGUGAACACAAAUUCCAUCCCUCUCUACGAGACCAAAGUUUCCAGUUUUGAAUAACACCCAAGGCAGCAGCAGCACCGCCAUUGAUUCGUAACGGGAUGUUAACCAAGCCCGGCUUUUCUUCAUCCUAUCUUAUCGUUGCAAUGGAAUACUCUGAGAAGAAGUGAUGAACACCAUCGGCAUCAACGAAAAUCUCAAGAAGUUCGACAGGAAUGGAUGGAGAUGGAAUCGUUUUAUUUGCUUUCUUUCUUCUUCUCCUCAUGCAGUUUUGUUGCGAUCCUCGCUUUUGCUCUCUUGGUGUCUCGGGGACUUGCGUAAAGCAACCGUGGGUUCGAAGAUCCAAUUGUGUGGUGCUCAGCCUUGGAGGCUUUCUUUCUUAAAGCCACGACGUGCUGGUGAGGAUCAGACAAGACGAAGGAAAGUGAGAGAGGGAUGUCGCCGAGAGGUGGUGACUAAGUCACUUCAAGGUGGAGGCGCAUAAAAAAGGACAAGGAUGCAAAUCGACUAGAUCUAAGGUCCAUUGCCUUUCUCUAUCCAUCGGUUCCGUUUUGUCAUCGCUCUAUUGGAAGGUGCGAUGUUGCGGUCCAGUGAGUAGAUCGCACAAUAAGAGAUGAACUUGGUUUAGUGCGUCUGAUUAGAAGUGACUGAGAGCGAGUGGAACACGAGCUGCAGGAGCCCGAUGCCGCUCGGAGUACCGUGGUGGGGUUAGAAGGGUCUGGGAAGCCUACGAUUGUUGCUGCCUCGGCAGCAAUUGGAGGAGCUCGGAGAACCGCUUGACAUUUCGACGCUUUGACCUUUCGAAGCUUUCAGGCCGAACGUGGUCCACUGAGGGAAUAUCGAUUUCGAACACGGUUUUCGAAAACGAAGCCGAUUGGAGGAGAAGUAAUUAAGUUGAUGAUGGGCAGCUAAUUCAGAAACGCGAGAUUUGUUAUGAUUUCUUGGUGGUAUUGGAGCUUACUGAAGACCGAUACAAGGCGAAAUGAGGGUUUCGACUGCUAUCAAAAGUAUGCUCCUGCGAAAUAGGGUCGGUUGAAUCAGGGCGACCUUUCAGAGCUUUCCACGGCGCGACCUGACGGAAGCAUAGCAGCUAAAUUAUUCUGCUUAUGCUAGCAUGCAACUAAAAUUGUAAGCCAAAUUUUAUAAAUGAGACAAUUGCAGCGCUACGGCAUCAUGGGCCUGCUCGCCCAAUGUGUGAGACGUUCUCAGAU
Molecule: non-coding RNA, 1354 nt
Organism: Physcomitrium patens
Lineage: Eukaryota; Viridiplantae; Streptophyta; Bryopsida; Funariales; Funariaceae
Source: RefSeq, a predicted model, not a curated record